RNAcentral lists this ribosomal RNA (383 nucleotides) under Enterobacter cloacae. RNAcentral's name for it is "bacterial SSU rRNA". It matches the Rfam family "Bacterial small subunit ribosomal RNA", at positions 1150 to 1532 of the family's 1533-position model. The record is from RNAcentral. RNAcentral also lists the same sequence under 2 other names. Lineage: Bacteria; Pseudomonadati; Pseudomonadota; Gammaproteobacteria; Enterobacterales; Enterobacteriaceae.
UGCCAGUGAUAAACUGGAGGAAGGUGGGGAUGACGUCAAGUCAUCAUGGCCCUUACGACCAGGGCUACACACGUGCUACAAUGGCGCAUACAAAGAGAAGCGACCUCGCGAGAGCAAGCGGACCUCAUAAAGUGCGUCGUAGUCCGGAUUGGAGUCUGCAACUCGACUCCAUGAAGUCGGAAUCGCUAGUAAUCGUAGAUCAGAAUGCUACGGUGAAUACGUUCCCGGGCCUUGUACACACCGCCCGUCACACCAUGGGAGUGGGUUGCAAAAGAAGUAGGUAGCUUAACCUUCGGGAGGGCGCUUACCACUUUGUGAUUCAUGACUGGGGUGAAGUCGUAACAAGGUAACCGUAGGGGAACCUGCGGUUGGAUCACCUCCUU